UAUGCAGUUUGUGCUUAUGUUUGGUGUAAUGUUAAUUUUGCCUAUACCACUAUUUGUUUGUAUUGCUACGUUUAGCGCGAGGUCACGAGUCAUCUGAAAAGCAAGUUGGUACCUGGAAUCUCAAGUGCCAGGCAAGUUGUGCCCUUGAUCACUUCUUUUUACCCAGUCAUGUUCUAAUUAAUCUUAAUGACCUGCAUAGGUUAAUUUUGAUGGGACCCAAUAGGAUACCCUAGUUUGACUAUCUUUAUACCUUGUUCACCACUGAAUUUUUGGGUAGUACCUGCUAUUGCUUUAUGUGGUUUUGGGUAUAGAGAUACAAAUUACUAUUCAUGAUUAUAUUUUAUUAUCAGUUGUUAUUUACUGUUCAUGUUAAGAUCAUUAUGUUAAUUGGAACAUGGAGAACCACCCAGGAAAACAGUGCUACCACAAGGGUUUAAUGGGACGCCCUUGGCUGAUUAAUUAGGAAAGCUAGUGGAUGACUAUCUUACCCGAAAGGGGCAAGGGCAGUAGGGGAGUGGUCAGUGUAGGGAGGCCCUUGGGAUGAUUUUGCUGCGAUGGCGGUCAUGUGAGGGAUUCCUGCAUUGGAGCUUCCUAUAAACUGUAGCGGGUUUUCUGAAGCUAGUGGAACUUUGUAAAGGCCUCGUAGUGUUACCCUACCUCGCCUCCUCGGUAGAGGUGUAUGGGAUUGGCCGUCUCUUGGCAGAUGGGUAUUAUGACUUGUGGGUAAAGAUGCGCAACCUCUGCAGAGUGUAAAACUGGUAUACUAGUCGUGCUCAUGGUCAUGAGCAGCUCGGACACUCACAUGAUUAAAUUAUGGAACUUAAACUCAAUUUGUCAUAUGCAUUGCAUCGCAGGUGAGGUUGUUACUUUUGUUCUACUACUUAAUUGGGCUGGUAUUUACUUAUACUUAGUAAUUGCUAAUAAAAUUUUGACCAACUUUAAAAGCAAUGCUCAGCUCUAACCAUCAUCUUUGGUAAGCCUUACACUUCACGUGAGCUCCCACCUUUGGCGAGUUCAUGCACAUUAUUCCCCACAACUUGUUGAGCGAUGAACGUAUGUGAGCUCACUCUUGCUGUCUCACACCCCCCACAGGUCAAGAUCAGGUACCACAGGAUGAGGCGCAUGGAGGAUGCUGCGAUGUGUCCAUGAGAGUUCUAGGUCGUCGUCUCCCAGUCAACUUUGGGUUGUUGGACCGUUGUCUCCUUAUAAUGUAAUUAUUUAUUUAUUUUGUAUAGAACUCCUAUUAUAUAGUAAAGAUGUGACAUUCGAUCCUGUGCCAUGAUUCAUCAUAUGUGUGAGACUUGGUCCCAGCACACCUGGUGAUUAUGCUCGCGCCCGGGUCUUGGUGCCUCGAAACCCGGUGUGACAGAAGUGGUAUCAGAGGAAUGUUGACUGUAGGACGAAACCUAGAUAGAACUGGACAACCAUUAUCUACUUACCUUGCUACUCUGAUUCUUUCUAAACUUUUCUUAAAUCUUUUCUCAUCUAUUUCCGCUUUACUCUGAUUAUCCUUACCUUUUCACUUCUAAAGACAAACUUAGAUUUCACACAUUGAAAUCCGGUGCUUAAAGUGACUUUUAGGAAUAGGAGACCUACUCCUAGGAACAAAAACAAAACUAUUUUUGUAGGUAUCUAUGUGCUUCAAUGUUUGUCCUUGUGAUACUUGUUUGAUUUGGAUCUUUGGUUGAGUGUGAUGAGUUGUGGAGUAAUGUCCACAAUUACAUGUGCAUAUACAUGUAGGAAAAAAUGCUUAUAAAAAUAAUUAGAUAAACUAAAUUAUCUCUCAUUAAAGUAUCUAGCCUAACAAUAUUCAUCUCAUCUUGAAAGAUUCUAUCUUACACUCAUAGAUCCAUCUUAUCUUAAAAGAUAUUCUAUUACCUUAGUAGACUCAUCUUAUCUUAAAAAGAUUUUAUCUUCUCCGAAUAGAUCAAACUGACCUCUAAAGAUUCUACCUUAUCCUUAUGAAUUCAUCUUAUCUUGAAAGAAUCGCCUUAUCCUAACCAUCCUACUUAUCUCAUCCCAAAGUAACCACCAUGAUCUAAUCCAAGUCAAUGAGAUCUUAUCUAGUCUAUCUAGUCAUAACAAUCUAACCUAGAUUUAAUCUAAUGUGAUCUAAAUGUGAUCUAACCUAAUGUGGUCUACUAAAACAGAUUAGUGAUAUUGGUGAAAUAGAUUAGACCCCGAUCCAAUAAAACAUGAACCUAAAUUGGUGCCUUACACCAACUCGCCAUUGAUCAACGACCUAACCUACACCACAGGUUGCCUAGUUCAUCUAUUCCAAAGCAAAGUAAAACUCUGUUCAAACCUACCUACUUUGUGUACCCCGGCUAUCCUAACUAUAUAUCUUAACCAUAAGUCCUUAACUCGGAUGGCAACUCCAAGAAGAAAGGCCAAAGAAGACCAACCACGUCAAAGAAGGAUAAGCAUCAACUCAAGACUUCAAAGAUCAAGUUGAAUCGCCAGCAGAAUCAAGAUCCACAGUUCAGGAUGAAGUCUUUCCUUAUUAUACUCUUCCAUGCCACAACCUAUACUUGCCAUAAUCGUACCUCAUCUGACAUAAUAGAUGGCUAGACAUAUAUAUCCAUAUUUUCCAAAUCAUCUACUAGCGAGUAUAUAAAAAAAACUUGAAACAAAACUUUUGAUUCCUAAACCAAAUGAGAAACUAAAUUUCAAACCAAACUGGUUGCAUCCCUUUUCUACUAAUCUCGAGGACGAGAUUAUUUUUAAGGGGGGGUAGAAUUUGUAACACCUCAAAAUCCUAUUGUGGGAUUUAUAAAAGUUUGUUCGAAAGAUUAAGAACCAAAUAACUCUUAAUAAGGACUUCUCUCUUUUAAAAGUUAUAUCUCCUAAAAUUAAUAGUUGGUAAUACUAAAAAGGUUGUGAGUCAGAUAUAGAAACUAAAGUUUUUAAAGAAAACUUCAUUUGAAACCUAGAAGAGAAAGCAUAAUAAUAGAAAACCUUUCAUCAACUUGCUAAGAAUAUUACUCUCAUAAGCUAUAUAAUUAAAAAAAAUACGUUUCAAAUUAUUUUCCACGUAACUCUUAAUAAAGAAUGUAAAUUACUUUCUCCUAAAACAAGCACGUAAUAAAUGUGAACUAUAUUUAAAUACUUUUGAAAUAAUUUUUUUGAAUAGAUAAUUCUUUAAAGAAUUAUAUGUUUUGGAGCAUGGAAUAAAUACAUGAAUUAAUAAAAAAUUAUAUGUAUAUUUGCAUCCAUGCUCGGAUUUUCGAUUGAUGCAUUUAUGAUUGAAAUAGAACAUUUGAAUUUGAUUGGUAUUUCUGAAUUAAAAAUAGAAAUAAAAUUAGGAAUUGAAAAAAGAGCACUCAUCUCACCCUCUCGUCCAUAAGGCCCGAUCUGCCAGAUCACUUCACAAUUUCUCUUAUGUGCAGCCCACGUCCACUCUCCAUUUUCUACCGAAGGAAACCCAUCUCCAAUUGCUCUCUCUCUCUACACGUUCUGUUUUAUAUCUUUUCUUUAUUCCUUUGGCCGGAUCUUACAUCAGCGUGACCUCAGCAAUGACGUCAACAUGCAAGCAAACCAGGGUGCGUGCAUUGGUAUUCUUGGAUCACUGGCACGUGGGCCCCCUGGCGGGUUGUCUCCUUCAUGAUGCCGCUAGCUGGUAACAGACUCCUUUCCUGGCGGCGGGCUGGGCGCGUGUGACUCCGCUGGUCCUUCGUGAUUUGCGCAGAGCUUUGAAACGGAUCGACCGGGUAUAUAAAUAGGGGCCUCACGCACUAGUCCCAUCGGCUCGGCCCUCGACCACAGUAAAGGAUCAGGCGCAGGCAGGAAAAUAGACAGAGAGCGAAGAGAGGAGAAGAUUUGGCCGCCGCGGUUGCAACCCUGCGCAUGCGCCGCUCGGGCUUCGGUCGCAUGGUCUGGGUGACCCGCUGGGGUACAUAGAUGACGUCCGUGGCACUUGAGCGAGGAGAAGACUCUCGGUGGAGGCCGAAUUGCUCACCGGUUCGUGGACAUCACCGUCGGGCCGCAUCUCACCAUGGGGGCAGGUUCUCCACUGCUCCACCGUCGGUAAAAUACUCCUAGAAUUAUUCUGGGUUGAUUCCGCUUCGCGUUUUUGCUACUUCGAUUGGGGUUCGGUCGUCGGGGUGUUGGUUUCGCGGGCAUCAGUGAGCUAUCGGGGCGGAGCUCUUCUUCCGCCGCCCUGUCGUGCAGUCGGGAGCAGGAAGAAGCAUGGAGUCCAUUGAUCUAGUGAUCAACGGUGGCUAUAGGAAGAUGAAGUGGAUGAACCAGGACCGUUAGAUGGUGAUCCAGCGUGCGGAACUUGUGAUCGAAUCUGGGCGGUCGAUGUUAAAUCGUGCGGUCGAUGCUGGAUACCGAUUCGGGUUGGAGACAAUCUAAUCUGGGCCACGAGCUUCAGAUCCAACGGCCUGAAUUCGCAGAUACCCGUUCGGCCAUGACUUUUGCUAAAGAGCCCCCGGGGAAUGGUCAAACUAACCCGCCAUCUAUGCUGGUUCAAACAUAAUUCCAACCGGGACCUUUUAUUUGCAGAUUUAACCCUGUGCUUAUGAGAAAUAGUGGCCCUAGCCAGAAAGUUUAUGAAAUAGUUAUAUUAAUGAUUUUUGUUAUAAAAAUAAUCCAAGAAACUUGCUUAAUUUAUAUUAAAUCCAUUUUAACUCCUUUUUAACCCGUUCCAGUUGCAUUAAUUUUGUUUCAAUAUUCUCUAUCAACUAGUAACACUGUUUAGCCAUGAAACAUGAAUUAAGAUUGUUCAUUUGGAUUAAUCUAUUCUAAGCACUAAAAUAAUUUCGAAAACUCAUAACUCAAUAACAAUAGCUCCGUAUUGAGUGGUUCUUCUUUCUACGAUCUCGUUACGCAGUGUAGAUUAUUAUUAUGCAGUUUGUGCUUAUGUUUGGUGUAAUGUUAAUUUUGCCUAUACCAAUAUUUGUUUGUAUUGCUACGUUUAGCGAGAGGUCACGAGUCAUCUGAAAAGCAAGUUGGUACCUGGAAUCUCAAGUGCCAGGCAAGUUGUGCCCUUGAUCACUUCUUUUUACCCAGUCAUGUUCUAAUUAAUCAUAAUGAUCUGCAUAGGUUAAUUUUGAUGGGACCCAAUAGGAUACCCUAGUUUGACUAUCUUUAUACCUUGUUCACCACUGAAUUUUUGGGUAGUACCUGCUAUUGCUUUAUGUGGUUUUGGGUAUAGAGAUACACAUUACUAUUCAUGAUUAUAUUUUAUUAUCAGUUGUUAUUUACUGUUCAUGUUAAGAUCAUUAUGUUAAUUGGAACAUGGAGAACCACCCGGGAAAACAGUGCUACCACAAGGGUUUAAUGGGACGCCCUUGGCUGAUUAAUUAGGAAAGCUAGUGGAUGACUAUCUUACCCGAAAGGGGCAAGGGCAGUAGGGGAGUGGUCAGUGUAGGGAGGCCCUUGGGAUGAUUUUGCUGCGAUGGCGGUCAUGCGAGGGAUUCCUGCAUUGAAGCUUCCUAUAAACUGUAGCGGGUUUUCUGAAGCUAGUGGAACUUUGUAAAGGCCUCGUAGUGUUACCCUGCCUCGCCUCCUCGGUAGAGGUGUAUGGGAUUGGCCGUCUCUUGGCAGAUGGGAAACAUGACUUGUGGGUAAAGAUGCGCAACCUCUGCAGAGUGUAAAACUGGUAUACUAGCCGUGCUCACGGUCAUGAGCAGCUCGGACACUCACAUGAUUAAAUUAUGGAACUUAAACUCAAUUUGACAUAUGCAUUGCAUCGCAGGUGAGGUUGUUACUUUUGUUCUACUACUUAAUUGGACUGGUAUUUACUUAUACUUAGUAAUUGCUAAUAAAAUUUUGACCAACUUUAAAAGCAAUGCUCAGCUCUAACCAUCCUCUUUGGUAAGCCUUACACUUCACGUGAGCUCCCACCUUUGGCGAGUUCAUGCACAUUAUUCCCCACAACUUGUUGAGCGAUGAACGUAUGUGAGCUAACUCUUGCUGUCUCACACCCCCCCACAGGUCAAGAUCAGGUACCACAGGAUGAGGCGCAUGGAGGAUGCUGCAAUGUGUUCGUGAGAGUUCUAGGCCGUCGUCUCCCAGUCAACUUUGGGUUGCUGGACCGUUAUCUCCUUAUAAUGUAAUUAUUUAUUUAUUCUGUAUAGAACUCCUAUUAUAUAGUAAAGAUGUGACAUUCGAUCC
Molecule: long non-coding RNA, 6120 nt
Filed under: Zea mays
Lineage: Eukaryota; Viridiplantae; Streptophyta; Magnoliopsida; Poales; Poaceae
Description: long non-coding RNA (ZMAY_LNC001660)
Source: RNAcentral